CUCUUCUUCAAAUGUCGGUUCACUAAGCAUCUCUGGAACUUGGCAAAAUAUUGGCUACACCUUGAGAAGACCAACACCGAUGAUUGGCAUCUGGAGACCUCAGUCAAGGAGUGGUGGACAAAACAGUCGGACUCCUUAAUCGCGAACAUGAAGGCCAUGGCGUCCCUCACAAUGCUCGUAAGUUGGACCGUUUGGAAUGAAAGAAAUGCUAGGGUCUUUCGCAACAAGAGCACUCCGCCUACGACCUUACUUAACUCCAUCAAGGGGGCGGCUCGCCUUUGGGUGACUGCGGGUGCAAAAAAGUUGGGGCACAUCAUGCCGGGAGAGUAA
RNAcentral lists this ribosomal RNA (330 nucleotides) under Triticum aestivum (bread wheat). RNAcentral describes it as "partial small subunit ribosomal RNA". The record is from RNAcentral. Lineage: Eukaryota; Viridiplantae; Streptophyta; Magnoliopsida; Poales; Poaceae.